Molecule: non-coding RNA, 21 nt
Filed under: Caenorhabditis elegans
Lineage: Eukaryota; Metazoa; Nematoda; Chromadorea; Rhabditida; Rhabditidae
Source: RNAcentral
UUCAACUUGUUUGUAAAUCCA